AUACAGAGGGUGCGAGCGUUAAUCGGAAUUACUGGGCGUAAAGCGCGCGUAGGCGGCUUAUUAAGUCAGAUGUGAAAUCCCCGGGCUCAACCUGGGAACUGCAUCUGAUACUGGUAAGCUAGAGUUUUGGAGAGGGAAGUAGAAUUUCAGGUGUAGCGGUGAAAUGCAUAGAGAUCUGAAGGAAUACCAGUGGCGAAGGCGACUUCCUGGCCAAAAACUGACGCUGAGGUGCGAAAGCGUGGGUAGCAAACGGGAUUAGAUACCCGUGUAGUCC
This 274-nucleotide ribosomal RNA is filed under the name uncultured bacterium. RNAcentral's name for it is "partial 16S ribosomal RNA". It matches the Rfam family "Bacterial small subunit ribosomal RNA", at positions 523 to 796 of the family's 1533-position model. The record is from RNAcentral.